This 396-nucleotide ribosomal RNA is filed under the name uncultured Hydrogenophaga sp. RNAcentral's name for it is "bacterial SSU rRNA". It matches the Rfam family "Bacterial small subunit ribosomal RNA", at positions 983 to 1382 of the family's 1533-position model. The record is from RNAcentral. Lineage: Bacteria; Pseudomonadati; Pseudomonadota; Betaproteobacteria; Burkholderiales; Comamonadaceae.
GACAUGUACGGAACUUGCCAGAGAUGGGCUUGGUGCUCGAAAGAGAGCCGUAACACAGGUGCUGCAUGGCUGUCGUCAGCUCGUGUCGUGAGAUGUUGGGUUAAGUCCCGCAACGAGCGCAACCCUUGUCAUUAGUUGCUACGAAAGGGCACUCUAAUGAGACUGCCGGUGACAAACCGGAGGAAGGUGGGGAUGACGUCAAGUCCUCAUGGCCCUUAUGGGUAGGGCUACACACGUCAUACAAUGGCCGGUACAAAGGGCAGCCAACCCGCGAGGGGGAGCCAAUCCCGUAAAGCCGGUCGUAGUCCGGAUCGCAGUCUGCAACUCGACUGCGUGAAGUCGGAAUCGCUAGUAAUCGUGGAUCAGCAUGUCACGGUGAAUACGUUCCCGGGUCUU